This 253-nucleotide ribosomal RNA is filed under the name uncultured bacterium. RNAcentral describes it as "partial 16S ribosomal RNA". It matches the Rfam family "Bacterial small subunit ribosomal RNA", at positions 524 to 776 of the family's 1533-position model. RNAcentral also lists the same sequence under 1 other name. The record is from RNAcentral.
UACGGGGGGGGCAAGCGUUGUUCGGAAUUACUGGGCGUAAAGGGCGCGUAGGCGGUUCGCUAAGUUGGAUGUGAAAACUCUGGGCUCAACCCAGAGCCUGCAUCCAAAACUGGCGGGCUAGAGUUCUGGAGGGGGUAGCGGAAUUCCUGGUGUAGCGGUGAAAUGCGUAGAUAUCAGGAGGAACACCGGUGGCGAAGGCGGCUACCUGGACAGAAACUGACGCUGAGGCGCGAAAGCUAGGGGAGCAAACAGG